GGAAUUGUUCGCAAUGGGCGCAAGCCUGACGACGCAACGCCGCGUGGAGGAUGAAGGUCUUCGGAUUGUAAACUCCUGUUGCCCGGGACGAAUGGCUCCGACCUAACACGUCGGAGUGUGACGGUACCGGGUGAGGAAGCCCCGGCUAACCCUGUGCCAGCAGCCGCGGUAAUACAGAGGGGGCAAGCGUUGUUCGGAAUUACUGGGCGUAAAGGGCGCGUAGGCGGCCUUCUAAGUCGAACGUGAAAUCCCCGGGCUCAACCCGGGAACUGCGUCCGAUACUGGAAGGCUUGAAUUCGGGAGAGGGAUGCAGAAUUCCAGGUGUAGCGGUGAAAUGCGUAGAUAUCUGGAGGAAUACCGGUGGCGAAGGCGGCAUCCUGGACCGACAUUGACGCUGAGGAGCGAAAGCUAGGGGAGCAAA
This 421-nucleotide ribosomal RNA is filed under the name uncultured bacterium. RNAcentral's name for it is "bacterial SSU rRNA". It matches the Rfam family "Bacterial small subunit ribosomal RNA", at positions 358 to 772 of the family's 1533-position model. The record is from RNAcentral.